AUGGCUUUCGCGCUCAAGGCAUCCCUCUCGCCGUCUUCCUCGCCUCCGUCGAGCCUCACAGCGGCCACAGUGGCCACACCGCCGGUAAAGCCUGUAUUCGUCAGAGCCCCGCUCAAGGCAUCCCUCUCGCCGUCUUCCUCGCCUCCGUCGACCCUCACAGCGGCCACAAUGGCCACACCGCCGGUAAAGCCUGUAUUCGUCAGAGCCCUCGCCGCGGCCUCAGUCGACCCGGCAAUGGCCACGCCAGCCGCGCCGGGGAGGCAUGCGGUCAGGGCGCGCGCAACCGCGCUGGCCCCGGCAACGGCGCCCGUGCCCGCCGGUAACGGCGGCCUGUCGGUAGCGAAGGCCAUGUCCCGGGCCAGAGACAACGGCAUGACGGCGUUCAUCCCGUACAUCACCGCCGGCGACCCCGACCUGGCGACCACAGCGGAGGCGCUCAGGCUAUUGGACGCCUGUGGCGCCGACGUCAUCGAGGUGGGCAUGCCGUUUUCCAACCCCUACGCCGACGGGGCCGUCAUCCAGGCGUCCGCGGCGCGGGCGCUCGCGGCCGGCGCGACGUCGGACACCGUGAUGGCGAUGCUGAAGGAGGUGACGCCGGAGCUAUCCUGCCCGGUGGUCAUCUUCUCCUACUUCAACCCCAUCGAGCGGCGGGGGACGGGGAGCUUCACCGCCGCAGCCAGAGAGGCCGGUGUACGAGGUCUUAUAGUACCCGAUCUUCCUUAUACCGAGGCAAGUGAUCUGAGCAUUGAAGCCAAGAAGAACGAGAUCGAGCUGGCUAGGCUGAUGAAGAGAUGGGUGCAGGUGCUGCUUACAACACCAUCUACAAAGGCAGAGAGGAUGAACGAGAUCACAUCAGCUUCCGAAGGGUUUGUGUACCUUGUAAGUAUCAACGGAUUAACAGGGACCCGCCCAGAUGUGAAUCCACGCGUUAAGGAUCUUCUCAGGGAGAUUAAGCAGGUCACCGACAAAGCAGUUGCUGUUGGAUUUGGCAUAUCCACCCCUGACCAUGUUAGGCAGGUUGCUCAGUGGGGUGCAGACGGUGUGAUAAUCGGCAGUGCGAUGGUGAAGCAGCUAGGUGAAGCAAAUUCUCCGAGAGAAGGAUUAAAGAGGCUGGAAGUAUAUGCCAAGAGUCUCAAGGAUGCACUGCAUGCCGUGAUAUGUACAAUAUAG
RNAcentral lists this ribosomal RNA (1170 nucleotides) under Triticum aestivum (bread wheat). RNAcentral describes it as "partial small subunit ribosomal RNA". Lineage: Eukaryota; Viridiplantae; Streptophyta; Magnoliopsida; Poales; Poaceae. The record is from RNAcentral.